CAAUCGGUCUUUCUAAAGACCACCUUUUUCUGCAUUUCCACCAUUGU
This is a non-coding RNA of Picea glauca (white spruce), 47 nucleotides long. Lineage: Eukaryota; Viridiplantae; Streptophyta; Pinopsida; Pinales; Pinaceae. The record is from Rfam.